CAAAAACAUGUCCUUUUGUUUAUUUAUUUAAGGUCUGACCUGCCCAAUGAGGAAUUGAAUGGCCGCAGUAUUUUAACUGUGCUAAGGUAGCAUAAUCAUUUGUCUUUUAAUUGAGGGCUGGAAUGAAGGGUUGGACGAGGUAUUAACUUUCUUUGAUUUAAUGAGGAGAAUUUAAUUUUUGAGUUAAAAAGCUUAAAUUUAUUUGUGGGACGAGAAGACCCUAUAGAUCUUUAUAGUUUUAUAUUUUAAUAAUUUGGUGAUUUAUUUGUUUUAAGUAGAUGAACUAUUUUGUUGGGGUGACUGUAGAAUUUAAAUAACUUCUAUUAUUUUAUUUCAUUAAUUAAUGUUUUUGUGAUCCAUAUUUUAUGAUUAUAAGAUUAAGUUACCUUAGGGAUAACAGCGUAAUUUCCUCGGAGAGUUCAUAUUGAUGGGGGAGUUUGCGACCUCGAUGUUGGAUUAAAAUAAAUUAUGGAUGCAGGAGUCGAUUUACUAGGUCUGUUCGACCUUUAAAUUUUUACAUGAUCUGAGUUCAAAACCGGAGA
Molecule: ribosomal RNA, 542 nt
Filed under: Triatoma infestans
Lineage: Eukaryota; Metazoa; Arthropoda; Insecta; Hemiptera; Reduviidae
Description: partial 16S ribosomal RNA
Rfam family: Bacterial large subunit ribosomal RNA
Source: RNAcentral